RNAcentral lists this unclassified non-coding RNA (279 nucleotides) under plant metagenome. RNAcentral describes it as "partial contains small subunit ribosomal RNA, internal transcribed spacer 1, and 5.8S ribosomal RNA". The record is from RNAcentral.
UUUGCGUAGGUGAACCUGCGGAAGGAUCAUUAUCGAGUUUUGACUGGGGUGUAGCUUGCCUUCCGAGGCAUGUGCACGCCCUGCUCACCCACUCUACACCUGUGCACUUACUGUGGGUAUCAGCUCGUGUAGCGUGCUCUUUUACCGGAGCUUGUGAAGCGUGUCUGUGUCUGCGUUUAUCAUAAACACAACAAAGUAUCAGAAUGUGUAUUACGAUGUAACGCAUCUAUAUACAACUUUCAGCAACGGAACUCUUGGCUCUCGCAUCGUUGAAGAACG